RNAcentral lists this ribosomal RNA (253 nucleotides) under uncultured bacterium. RNAcentral describes it as "partial 16S ribosomal RNA". It matches the Rfam family "Bacterial small subunit ribosomal RNA", at positions 524 to 776 of the family's 1533-position model. The record is from RNAcentral.
UACGUAGGGGGCAAGCGUUGUCCGGAAUUAUUGGGCGUAAAGAGCGCGUAGGCGGUCCGAUAAGUCGGCUGUGAAAGUCAUGGGCUCAACCCAUGAAAGCCGGCCGAUACUGUCGGACUAGAGUCCGGAAGAGGCGAGUGGAAUUCCCGGUGUAGCGGUGAAAUGCGCAGAUAUCGGGAGGAACACCAAUGGCGAAGGCAGCUCGCUGGGACGGUACUGACGCUGAGGAGCGAAAGCAUGGGGAGCAAACAGG